UAUAAAGAUUCUGCAUGGAACCUUUAUUAAAACUUAAGUGGCAACAGAUGAGCCUGCGUCUGAUAGAUAGUUGGUGAGGUAACGGCUCUACCAAGACGAUAAUCAGUAGGGGGCCUUAGAGGGUUUUCCUCCACACUGGAACUGAGACACGGACCAGACUUCUACGGGAGGCAGCAGUGAGGAAUAUUGGUCAAUGAAGGAAACUUUGAACCAGCUAUACCGCGUGUAGGAUGACAGCCUUUUUGGUUGUAAACUACUUUUGUAUAGAAAUAAAAAUUUCUACGUGAUAGUAAUCUGAAGGUCUGUAUACGAAUAAGUGUCAGCUAAUUUCGUGCCAGCAGCUGCGGUAAUACGUAAGACACAAGCGUUGUCCGGAUUUAUUGGGUUUAAAGGGUGUGUAGGCUGUUUAUUAAGUCAGUAGUGAAAGCUUACAGCUUAACUGUAAAAUAGCUAUUGAUACUGGUAAACUUGAGUAAGAUUGGAGUAUCUGGAAUGUAUGGUGUAGCGGUGAAAUGCAUAGAUAUCAUACAGAACACCAAUAGCGAAGGCAGGAUACUAAAUCUUUAUUGACGCUGAGGCACGAAAGCGUGGGUAGCAAACAGGAUUAGAUACCCUGGUAGUCCACGCCCUAAACGAUGAUCACUAGCUAUUGGAAAAACUAUAUUCAGUGGCUAAGCGAAAGCGAUAAGUGAUCCACCUGGGAAAUAUAAUCGCAAGAUUGAAACUCAAAGGAAUUGACGGGGUUUCGCACAAGCGGUGGAGCAUGUGGUUUAAUUCGAUGAUACGCGAGGAACCUUACCAAGGCUUAAAUGUAUUACGAAUAAGCUGGAAACAGCUUAGUCUACAAGACGGAAUACAAGGUGCUGCAUGGUUGUCUUCAGUUCGUGCUGUGAAGUGUUUGGUUAAGUCCUAUAACGAGCGCAACCCUUAUUGUUAGUUGCCAUCAGAUAAUGCUGGGGACUCUAACAAAACUGCCAGUGUAAACUGCGAGGAAGGCGAGGAUAAUGUCAA
Molecule: ribosomal RNA, 1011 nt
Filed under: Candidatus Uzinura diaspidicola
Lineage: Bacteria; Pseudomonadati; Bacteroidota; Flavobacteriia; Flavobacteriales
Description: bacterial SSU rRNA
Rfam family: Bacterial small subunit ribosomal RNA
Source: RNAcentral